This 502-nucleotide ribosomal RNA is filed under the name uncultured bacterium. RNAcentral describes it as "partial 16S ribosomal RNA". It matches the Rfam family "Bacterial small subunit ribosomal RNA", at positions 28 to 523 of the family's 1533-position model. The record is from RNAcentral.
GAUGAACGCUAGCGGCAGGCCUAACACAUGCAAGUCGAGGGGCAGCACAGAAACAGCAAUGUUUUGGUGGCGACCGGCGGACGGGUGCGUAACGCGUAUGCAACCUACCUUUAACAGGGGGAUAACGGAGAGAAAUUUCCACUAAUACCCCAUAACAUCGAUCAAGGCAUCUUGAUUGGUUGAAAACUCCGGUGGUUAAAGAUGGGCAUGCGUUGUAUUAGGUAGUUGGUGAGGUAAUGGCUCACCAAGCCUACGAUACAUAGGGGGACUGGGAGGUUAGGCCCCCACACCGGUACGGAGAAACGGACCAGACUCCUAAGGGAGGCAGCAGUGAGGAGUAUUGGUCAAUGGGGGCAACCCUGAACCAGCCAUGCCGCGUGCAGGAAGACGGCUCUAUGAGUUGUAAACUGCUUUUACAGGGGGAUAAAUCGGUGUACGUGUACGCCGUUGAAGGUACCUUGGGAAUAAGGAUCGGCUAACUCCGUGCCAGCAGCCGCAGUAA